AGGGCUUAACACAUGCAAGUCGAGCGGGCGAGCAAUACGUCAGCGGGCAGACGGGUGAGUAACGCGUGGGAACAUACCUUUUGGUUCGGUAACAACACAGGGAAACUUGUGCUAAUACCGGAUAAGCCCUUACGGGGAAAGAGUUUAUCGCCGAAAGAUUGGCCCGCGUCUGAUUAGCUAGUUGGUGAGGUAACGGCUCACCAAGGCGACGAUCAGUAGCUGGUCUGAGAGGAUGAUCAGCCACAUUGGGACUGAGACACGGCCCAAACUCCUACGGGAGGCAGCAGUGGGGAAUAUUGGACAAUGGGCGCAAGCCUGAUCCAGCCAUGCCGCGUGAGUGAUGAGGGCCCUAGGGUUGUAAAGCUCUUUUGUGCGGGAAGAUAAUGACGGUACCGCAAGAAUAAGCCCCCGGCUAACUUCGUG
RNAcentral lists this ribosomal RNA (423 nucleotides) under uncultured bacterium. Its description in RNAcentral is "bacterial SSU rRNA". It matches the Rfam family "Bacterial small subunit ribosomal RNA", at positions 44 to 507 of the family's 1533-position model. The record is from RNAcentral.